AUGAAUAACCAGUGCGUGCCGAGCUGGGAUCUGGACGAGACGGUUGGCGCGGGGCUCAACCCGGUGUCCACCAGGUCGGCGCAGCGUAUGGCGUCUGGAGACAGCGGUCUGACGGGGCCGGUUGCCAUGCCCAUGCCGGACCAGUACGACGAGGUGGCGGAGCUGACGUGGGAGAAGGGCAACAUCUUCUGGCAGGGGCUGCUCAACCGGUCGGUGCCCAAGUACCCGGCCGCGCCGGCGCCGGCGCAGAUGCAUGCCAUCGGCGGCGCGGGUGAUCACCGGGAGACGCUCGAGGCAGUGGUGGGCGAGGCGGCCGCUCGUUUGUCGUCUCAGUCGACGUCGCACCUCGGGCAGCCGUUGCCUGCAGCUGUCGCGCCUUGGCUCGGUGUGGGCGCGCCAGCCGACGGGCUCGUGCCGUGCGCGAGGGGUGACGACCAGGCGGAGGGGGGCGUGCGGAGGAAGCGGGCACGGCAGGUCGGCGAGGACGGGCGCGUGUGCGCCAGCCAAGGUAGCGCCGCGCCCGGCCGCGGCGAGAGCUCGCUGCUCACUCUGGAGCCCUGCGGCACCGGCGCUGACGACUUGUGCGGGUUCACGACGACCAACAACUCCACGUCGCUGGACCACGGCUCCCCGGAGACGGAGAACACGAGCUUCGGGGGAGGCGCAAGCGACUCCCGCUGCUUCAGCCGUCGGUCGCAGAGAGACGGGCUGUGCGACGAAGCAGAGAACGUCGUGAUCAAGGGGGGAGCUCCAAUGAGGUCGUCCAUUUCCACUAAGAGGAGCCGGGCUGCUGCCAUCCAUAACGAAUCUGAGCGUAAAAGAAGGGACAGGAUCAACCAGAAGAUGCAGACAUUGCAAAAGCUCGUCCCCAACUCAAGCAAGACCGACAAGGCAUCGAUGCUGGACGAGGUGAUCGACCACUUGAAGCAGCUGCAGGCAACGGUGCAGAUGAUGAACCGGAUGAGCAGCAUGAUGAUGCCCAUGGCCAUGCCGCAGCUAGCCCAGAUGUCCGUCAUGGCCAACAUGGCCCAGAUGGCCCAGAUGGCGCAGAUGGGCCUGGGAAUGAUGAACAUGGCCGGGCCACUCGCGCAGCCCGCCUACCCGGGCCUCACCCAGCCCAUGAUGCAGGCGUCCACCCCUUUCGUCGCCAUGCAGCCCUGGAACGCCGGCGCCGGCGCCGACCGGCAGAAGCAGUCCGCCGCCGUGCCGGACGCCUACUCCGCCUUCCUCGCCUGCCAAGCGGCGCAGCAGAACACGCAGCAGCAACAGCAAGCUCAACCGAACGGCAUGGAGGCGUACAGCAGGAUGAUGGCCAUGUACCAGAAGCUAAGCCAACAGCAGACCCGGCCGGGCAGCUCCAAAGAGUGA
RNAcentral lists this ribosomal RNA (1368 nucleotides) under Triticum aestivum (bread wheat). RNAcentral's name for it is "partial small subunit ribosomal RNA". Lineage: Eukaryota; Viridiplantae; Streptophyta; Magnoliopsida; Poales; Poaceae. The record is from RNAcentral.